AGGACGAACGCUGGCGGCGUGCUUAACACAUGCAAGUCGAGCGGUAAGGCUCCUUCGGGAGUACACGAGCGGCGAACGGGUGAGUAACACGUGAGCAAUCUGCCCUUCACUUUGGGAUAACUUCCGGAAACGGAAGCUAAUACCGAAUACGACCAUCACAGACAUCUAUUGAUGGUGGAAAGUUCCGGCGGUGAAGGAUGAGCUCGCGGCCUAUCAGCUUGUUGGUGAGGUAACGGCCCACCAAGGCGACGACGGGUAGCCGGCCUGAGAGGGUGACCGGCCACACUGGGACUGAGACACGGCCCAGACUCCUACGGGAGGCAGCAGUGGGGAAUAUUGGACAAUGGGCGAAAGCCUGAUCCAGCAACGCCGCGUGAGGGAUGACGGCCUUCGGGUUGUAAACCUCUUCUAGCAGGGACGAAGCGAAAGUGACGGUACCUGCAGAAGAAGCACCGGCCAACUACGUGCCAGCAGCCGC
Molecule: ribosomal RNA, 478 nt
Filed under: uncultured bacterium
Lineage: Bacteria
Description: SSU rRNA
Rfam family: Bacterial small subunit ribosomal RNA
Source: RNAcentral